This 468-nucleotide ribosomal RNA is filed under the name uncultured bacterium. RNAcentral describes it as "partial 16S ribosomal RNA". It matches the Rfam family "Bacterial small subunit ribosomal RNA", at positions 28 to 507 of the family's 1533-position model. The record is from RNAcentral.
GACGAACGCUGGCGGCGUGCUUAACACAUGCAAGUCGAACGGAAAGGCCCUGCUUUUGUGGGGUGCUCGAGUGGCGAACGGGUGAGUAACACGUGAGUAACCUGCCCUUGACUUUGGGAUAACUUCAGGAAACUGGGGCUAAUACCGGAUAGGAGCUCCUGCUGCAUGGUGGGGGUUGGAAAGUUUCGGCGGUUGGGGAUGGACUCGCGGCUUAUCAGCUUGUUGGUGGGGUAGUGGCUUACCAAGGCUUUGACGGGUAGCCGGCCUGAGGGGGUGACCGGCCACAUUGGGACUGAGAUACGGCCCAGACUCCUACGGGAGGCAGCAGUGGGGAAUAUUGCACAAUGGGCGGAAGCCUGAUGCAGCAACGCCGCGUGCGGGAUGACGGCCUUCGGGUUAUAAACCGCUUUCGCCUGUGACGAAGCGUGAGUGACGGUAAUGGGUAAAGAAGCACCGGCUAACUACGUG